RNAcentral lists this long non-coding RNA (1066 nucleotides) under Anas platyrhynchos platyrhynchos (common mallard). RNAcentral's name for it is "lncRNA (ENSAPLG00000017393.1)". The record is from RNAcentral. Lineage: Eukaryota; Metazoa; Chordata; Aves; Anseriformes; Anatidae.
CGGGGAAUUUUUAUUUUUUUAUUUUUAUUUUUUUCUGCAGCUUCGUACAUCACAAUUUCUGUUAAGUUGCCAUGUACAAUAUGUAUCUUCUUGAACGUGUCUCUCAGCAGUGAUCUUUCUUGUCACCUUGAGAUAAAACAGAAAUAGUCUCAAAAAUAACCUCAGAGUAACAUUUUUGGUUCAGGUUUUGGUUUUGGUUUCAGUUUGGUUUGUGAGAAUGUAGUACUCCAGACAGCUGUAAAAACACAAGUGGUUUCUUCUAACACAGACUGACCAGUUUGACACUCUGCUUACUCCUGGAACCAUUCCUUCUGAUGCCAUCAGCAGACCCUGGUGACAGAAGGUGACAUCACGAACUACAGUGUGAUAUCACUGAAGAAAGGGCUUUUUAGCUAUCCUGUUAAGAGAAGAAAAAAAGUGAAGUUGACACCUUUGGCAGGUUCUGCCUUGGACUGUGAGAGGAGUGUCUGCUGGUGACCAUCCCACAAUGGUCCCCUUCUGCCCCCCAGCUGCACCUCUGCCUUCUGCCUCUGCUGCUUCCCCAGCUUUUGAGAUGUUUAGGUAACCUUAAUGGCAGAGGAUCACAUUGCUGGCAGCACGACUGAGCAACCAUGCCAUGCCCUGAAGGGGAUGCCAGCCGUGCAUGGGACAGACAGCAGGAGGAAGGUCUCAAGGAUCAGCUGACAGCAUCAUUAGUCAGAGUCUGUUGGACCUUGCAUGACUGCAUGAUAGGAGUCACUUCAGAUGAUUUGGGCAGGUCAGGAAGUUGUGUCCAGAAAGGAAGUUCCAGGAAAGGAAAAGGAGACUACUUUUCUGUGAAUACAGGAAGACUGGCUUAGUUAAUGCAGCACCAAGAAAGUGGUAGGUUGAGAAACAAUGAAUCUAUUAAAAUCUUAAUUUAACUCUUCCUGAGAUUAUGAAAGUUUACUAUAUGCAAAACAUUUUUUUUCCUUACUGUUUCUAAGCAGGGCAAGGAAAAAUAUGAAAUCAAGCAGGCCUUGAUAGUUUUUAAAACCUAAGUGAAAUAGAAUAUUCCAUACUAUUUUUUAAACUCUACCACAUAAAG